CUACGGGCGGCAGCAGUAAGGAAUAUUGGGCAAUGGACGCAAGUCUGACCCAGCCAUGCCGCGUGCAGGAUGACAGCCCUACGGGUUGUAAACUGCUUUUAUACGGGAAAAAACCCCUGCACGAGUUGCGGGGUUGAUGGUACCGUAAGAAUAAGCAUCGGCUAACUCCGUGCGCAGCAGCCGCGGUAAUACGGAGGAUGCAAGCGUUAUCCGGAUUCAUUGGGUUUAAAGGGUGCGUAGGCGGAAUGAUAAGUCAGUGGUGAAAUCCUACAGCUUAACUGUAGAACUGCCAUUGAUACUGUUGUUCUUGAGUACAUUUGAAGUGGGCGGAAUGUGUCAUGUAGCGGUGAAAUGCAUAGAGAUGACACAGAACACCGAUCGCGAAGGCAGCUCACUAAACUGUAACUGACGCUGAGGCACGAAAGCGUGGGGAUCAAACAGGAUUAGAUACCCCUGUAGUC
Molecule: ribosomal RNA, 461 nt
Filed under: uncultured bacterium
Lineage: Bacteria
Description: partial 16S ribosomal RNA
Rfam family: Bacterial small subunit ribosomal RNA
Source: RNAcentral